Molecule: long non-coding RNA, 1757 nt
Organism: Xenopus laevis (African clawed frog)
Lineage: Eukaryota; Metazoa; Chordata; Amphibia; Anura; Pipidae
Exons: 6
Source: RefSeq, a predicted model, not a curated record
UAUUAACUGAUACAUUUUGUAAAAAACAUUUUUUUCCACGACAGUAUCCCUUUAACAAGUAACAAAGUGAGGAAUCUUAUGGGGAUGCCCUCAACGUGAACAAACUAAAUGAGCAACAAACUAAAAAGAAAAGCUUGCAAUAUUUAUUCUUUUUGUCUAUUUACUGAGUUAAUCUAAAAUAAUGUUUUCCUUUACCAGGUCUGCAAUGAACACGGAUUUGACAAACAAUACCCGGACCCAACUGGCUGGAUAGAGCUCAAACAAUGUGUUGGAUCAGGAGGAUUUGGAGUAAUCCAUAAAGUCAGAUAUGAGAUUUUAAGAUUGUACGGGGCGGGAAUGACCUACCUUUUGUGGCCCUUAACAUCUCAAUGUAAUUCUAUAUAUUGUAUAUAUUUAUAUAUCUAGUAUAUAAAUAUUCAUACAUAUGUCAUGUAUCACUAAAUUGGUGAGAAGGAUUCAUAUUUUCUUUUGGAGUUUGUUUUUUGUUUCUGAGACUGCAAAGACCCAUGUCGUUAUACCCAGGUACUUUAUCAAAUUCAAGUCAAAAUUCACCACAAAUCUGUUUUCUUUCAGGCAUGGCAUAUUAAGGAAAAGAAAGAAGUGGCCAUAAAAGUAAUAAAAGACCUUAGGGAUAAUGAAGAGAUUCUUGCUGAACUGUACGUACUUCAAUGCGUUUCUGGCCACGACAACUUCCCUGCCUUUUAUGGAGCCUAUUAACUACGGCCCAGCAUUUCAAAUGAAGAGGCACUAUGGGGCCUGGCUUACUUACAAGAACUGAACGUGAUACAUCAUGAUCUCAAGAGCGCCAAUAUAAUAACUUCUACGGCCCGUGUGAAAAUAAUUGAUUUUGGCCUUGCCACAGUAGGGCCCAUCAGUACAAGUAAUGGAGGAACCCUCUGUUGGAUGGCACCUGAAGUCCAUGCAUGUUUUAUAAGAAGAGUACAUUAUGACUGCAAGGUGGAUGUGUGGUCUUUAGGAAUCACAGCCAUAGAAAUGGCAGAAUACAAUCCUCGUAAGUAAUCUUAAAUAACAUUUUGUGUGCAUUUAUGUUAAUUUAUGGAGGAGUGUUUUUAGGAAGGUCAGGGGGUAUCAUCACCCAUUCUGUAAAUAAUGAAACAUGUCAAUUGGCCAUGAAUCAGAGAAUCUUUUCUGUGCUUUUAUUAUAAUGGUGUCUUCUGUAAGUUACUUUCUUUUUAGUGAUACACUGGAAAGCAAGAUAUAACUUCUUGUUUCAGAGACAGGAGCAAUCAGAUAAAAGAUAUAGAAUGUGUCUUUCCUGUAUCUCAUUAAGCUAAUGGCAAAUAAUGUGUUUUCUCUGCUGCUGAGAAAAUGCAGAUACAGCCAUAUACUGCCCUAUAUGCCCAAUAUCUGUCUUUCACUGUCUUUUCACACGCUGCAAAUUCCAUCCAGACUGCAUUUAUUUACUUGUUAUGUAUGAAAGAAGGAAAUUCUGUCUCAAAGUUAAAAUAAAUCAUUGGUUGGUUCUGAUAAUGGAAAUUUAUCAGAAUAUUUGAUGUAGUCACCCUCUACUGUACAAUGCUGCAAAAUAUGUUGGCUCCUUGUAAAUUUAUAAGAAUAACAAUAAUAAUAUUGUGUUCUCUUACACUUACAGAACACGUUAAACUUCAUGGUACUGAGCUUUCCGAAAUGAUUAUGAAUGCUCCAGCUCUAAAACGGGAGAUAUGGGGAGUCAUUUUUUUUUUACAGAAAUAGGACUUAAGGUGGCCAUAGACAUUACAAUUACAAUCAUUCCUGGA